AAAUUGAAGAGUUUGAUCAUGGCUCAGAUUGAACGCUGGCGGCAGGCCUAACACAUGCAAGUCGAACGGUAACAGGAAGCAGCUUGCUGCUUUGCUGACGAGUGGCGGACGGGUGAGUAAUGUCUGGGAAACUGCCUGAUGGAGGGGGAUAACUACUGGAAACGGUGGCUAAUACCGCAUAACGUCGCAAGACCAAAGAGGGGGACCUUCGGGCCUCUUGCCAUCAGAUGUGCCCAGAUGGGAUUAGCUUGUUGGUGAGGUAACGGCUCACCAAGGCGACGAUCCCUAGCUGGUCUGAGAGGAUGACCAGCCACACUGGAACUGAGACACGGUCCAGACUCCUACGGGAGGCAGCAGUGGGGAAUAUUGCACAAUGGGCGCAAGCCUGAUGCAGCCAUGCCGCGUGUAUGAAGAAGGCCUUCGGGUUGUAAAGUACUUUCAGCGGGGAGGAAGGUGUUGCGGUUAAUAACCGCAGCAAUUGACGUUACCCGCAGAAGAAGCACCGGCUAACUCCGUGCCAGCAGCCGCGGUAAUACGGAGGGUGCAAGCGUUAAUCGGAAUUACUGGGCGUAAAGCGCACGCAGGCGGUCUGUCAAGUCGGAUGUGAAAUCCCCGGGCUCAACCUGGGAACUGCAUUCGAAACUGGCAGGCUUGAGUCUUGUAGAGGGGGGUAGAAUUCCAGGUGUAGCGGUGAAAUGCGUAGAGAUCUGGAGGAAUACCGGUGGCGAAGGCGGCCCCCUGGACAAAGACUGACGCUCAGGUGCGAAAGCGUGGGGAGCAAACAGGAUUAGAUACCCUGGUAGUCCACGCCGUAAACGAUGUCUACUUGGAGGUUGUGCCCUUGAGGCGUGGCUUCCGGAGCUAACGCGUUAAGUAGACCGCCUGGGGAGUACGGCCGCAAGGUUAAAACUCAAAUGAAUUGACGGGGGCCCGCACAAGCGGUGGAGCAUGUGGUUUAAUUCGAUGCAACGCGAAGAACCUUACCUGGUCUUGACAUCCACAGAAGAAUCCAGAGAUGGAUUGGUGCCUUCGGGAACUGUGAGACAG
This 1047-nucleotide ribosomal RNA is filed under the name Salmonella enterica subsp. enterica serovar Typhimurium. RNAcentral describes it as "bacterial SSU rRNA". It matches the Rfam family "Bacterial small subunit ribosomal RNA", at positions 1 to 1037 of the family's 1533-position model. Lineage: Bacteria; Pseudomonadati; Pseudomonadota; Gammaproteobacteria; Enterobacterales; Enterobacteriaceae. The record is from RNAcentral.